This 577-nucleotide long non-coding RNA is filed under the name Brassica rapa (field mustard). RNAcentral describes it as "long non-coding RNA (BRAP_LNC004466)". The record is from RNAcentral. Lineage: Eukaryota; Viridiplantae; Streptophyta; Magnoliopsida; Brassicales; Brassicaceae.
CAUGAUACUAAAACUGUCUCUUAGACAGAGAGAAUCAGACAGGUUCCCUGAAGUUAAACUUCUCAAAGAUUUGCUUGAACUCAACGUUAAAACCAUCUUCAAACUCGGGCUGCUCUGGAGCAUACUCAAUCACAUUCUGCUCAGAUACAUAUGAGGAAACAGAGAUCAGAAAUCACAAACUCUCUUGAUUGCUGCAGCGUCUGCACAAAAGCUUGUUAAUUGGGGAUAUCAACAUCACUCACACACUUCAGCGGCUCCUACGAUAAUCAACUCUAAUCUCUGCAACUUCAUCAUCCACCGAAUCUUCCUCAGUGGCUUCUGGAUCCUCGCUAACACACAAAGAGUGGCCAAGAUUAAGCUGAAUUAGCCAUUUGCAAUUUACAUUAAUCACACUUCAGGAGCUUAAAAGAAAAAGUUUGGUAACCUACAGGAAACUUAGCGGAGGGUUGAACAGAUUUCAGGGCCAUAGUUUUAUAUUCUUCUACAGAGGUUUUUGAUUAGGGAUAGAUGGAGAAAUAAAGGGAUGUAGAACGAUACAAUAUCUCAAUUUAAUGAUUUAGAUCUGAUGGACAUUAUU